CGNUGCUUANCAUGCAGUCGAACGGCAGCACGGAGCUUGCUCUGGUGGCGAGUGGCGAACGGGUGAGUAAUAUAUCGGAACGUACCCUGGAGUGGGGGAUAACGUAGCGAAAGUUACGCUAAUACCGCAUACGAUCUAAGGAUGAAAGUGGGGGAUCGCAAGACCUCAUGCUCGUGGAGCGGCCGAUAUCUGAUUAGCUAGUUGGUAGGGUAAAAGCCUACCAAGGCAUCGAUCAGUAGCUGGUCUGAGAGGACGACCAGCCACACUGGAACUGAGACACGGUCCAGACUCCUACGGGAGGCAGCAGUGGGGAAUUUUGGACAAUGGGCGAAAGCCUGAUCCAGCAAUGCCGCGUGAGUGAAGAAGGCCUUCGGGUUGUAAAGCUCUUUUGUCAGGGAAGAAACGGUGAGAGCUAAUAUCUCUUGCUAAUGACGGUAC
RNAcentral lists this ribosomal RNA (438 nucleotides) under Aquaspirillum arcticum. Its description in RNAcentral is "bacterial SSU rRNA". It matches the Rfam family "Bacterial small subunit ribosomal RNA", at positions 43 to 478 of the family's 1533-position model. The record is from RNAcentral. Lineage: Bacteria; Pseudomonadati; Pseudomonadota; Betaproteobacteria; Neisseriales; Aquaspirillaceae.